UCCUACGGGAGGCAGCAGUGGGGAAUAUUGGACAAUGGGGGGAACCCUGAUCCAGCCAUGCCGCGUGUGUGAAGAAGGCCCUCGGGUUGUAAAGCACUUUCAGCGAGGAAGAACGCCUAGCGGUUAAUACCCGCUAGGAAAGACAUCACUCGCAGAAGAAGCACCGGCUAACUCCGUGCCAGCAGCCGCGGUAAUACGGAGGGUGCAAGCGUUAAUCGGAAUUACUGGGCGUAAAGCGCGCGUAGGUGGCUUGAUAAGCCGGUUGUGAAAGCCCCGGGCUCAACCUGGGAACGGCAUCCGGAACUGUCAAGCUAGAGUGCAGGAGAGGAAGGUAGAAUUCCCGGUGUAGCGGUGAAAUGCGUAGAGAUCGGGAGGAAUACCAGUGGCGAAGGCGGCCUUCUGGACUGACACUGACACUGAGGUGCGAAAGCGUGGGUAGCAAACAGGAUUAGAUACCCUGGUAGUCCACGCCGUAAACGAUGUCGACCAGCUGUUGGGUGCCUAGCGCACUUUGUGGCGAAGUUAACGCGAUAAGUCGACCGCCUGGGGAGUACGGCCGCAAGGUUAAAACUCAAAUGAAUUGACGG
RNAcentral lists this ribosomal RNA (587 nucleotides) under uncultured bacterium. Its description in RNAcentral is "bacterial SSU rRNA". It matches the Rfam family "Bacterial small subunit ribosomal RNA", at positions 337 to 916 of the family's 1533-position model. The record is from RNAcentral.